UGCAUGCGAGUCGCGCGAGAAUGUAGCAAUACACGACAGCGGCGAAAGGGAGAGGACAACACGGGAAUCUGCCUUGGGGACGAGGAUAGCGUCGGGAAACUGACAGUAAUACUCGAUAAUGUUUGCGGACCAAAGGCGUGAUUCCGCCCCAAGAUGAGCCCGUGCCCCAUUAGCUAGUUGGCAGGGUAAUGGCCUACCAAGGCUGUGAUGGGUAGCUGGUGUGAGAGCACGACCAGCCUCACUGGCACUGAGACACUGGCCAGACACCUACGGGUGGCUGCAGUCGAGAAUCUUCGGCAAUGGACGCAAGUCUGACCGAGCGACGCCGCGUGCGGGAUGAAGGCCUUCGGGUUGUAAACCGCUGUCGUAGGGAAUCAAAUGUAUGAGGGUACUCCCUUGUAUUUGAGAGAUCCUAGGAGGAAGGAGAGGCUAAGCUCGUGCCAGCAGCCGCGGUAAGACGAGCUCUCCAAACGUUAUUCGGUAUUACUGGGCUUAAAGAGUUCGUAGGCGGCUCUGUACGUGAGAUGUGAAAGCCCUCGGCUUAACCGAGGAACUGCGUUUCAAACCACAGGGCUUGAGGGAGAUAGGGGUAAGCGGAACAGAUGGUGGAGCGGUGAAAUGCAUUGAU
This 628-nucleotide ribosomal RNA is filed under the name uncultured bacterium. RNAcentral describes it as "bacterial SSU rRNA". It matches the Rfam family "Bacterial small subunit ribosomal RNA", at positions 52 to 695 of the family's 1533-position model. The record is from RNAcentral.